AUGAAGCCAAAGGUAAUGAGGAAGAUGCAAGACAAGAUCAGGGCGGCGUUCCGCGAGAUCGAUCUCCGGACGAGCGGAAGUUGCAUCAAGUACCUCGGCUUGGUGAUCAAGGAGACGUUCAAGCUGUACCCAGCAACUACCAUCUUGAUCCCUCGAGGGAGCACCGAGGCCUGCGAGAUCAACAGCCAAGACGAGGGUGAUCAUAAACUCCUGGGUAAUCAUGUUGGACACCCAGUCCAGGAACAUGCCGAGGAGUUCAGAGCGGAGAGGUUCAAGGGAGCUCGCAUGGACUUUCAUGGUGUAUUCUUCGGGUACACGCUGCAGACCAAGGAUGGCAUGUACCUGAAGCAGGAGUUUAUGAUGGCCCAGCAGUUUAUGAUCACUCUCGUUUUGCCUGUCAUCACGUACUCAUUGAUCUUGCAUGCCCCCGAGCGGCUUGUACCCGAAGUAGAUGCCAUGACAGUCCAUACGAGCAGCCUUGAACUUCUCAGGCCUUAA
This 498-nucleotide ribosomal RNA is filed under the name Triticum aestivum (bread wheat). RNAcentral's name for it is "partial small subunit ribosomal RNA". The record is from RNAcentral. Lineage: Eukaryota; Viridiplantae; Streptophyta; Magnoliopsida; Poales; Poaceae.